Molecule: non-coding RNA, 144 nt
Organism: Tinamus guttatus (white-throated tinamou)
Lineage: Eukaryota; Metazoa; Chordata; Aves; Tinamiformes; Tinamidae
Source: RefSeq, a predicted model, not a curated record
CGGGGACAGGACAGGUGGCAGGAGCUGUGCAGGACCGAGCCAUCAGCACCUCAUGCUGACCUGGUGUCCAGCCAGGAGGAAAUCAUCAGCCCAGCACUGCAGACCUCACGCUGGGCAAGGCUUAACUCACCACAGCCCAAGAGC